AAGUAAAUUUCCUUGGUCAAUGACAGAAGCAAUUUGCAUUUCUGCUUUAUUUACAUUAAUGUGGCAUCUCCUUUCUUGAAUUUAUGGUGCCAAUUACUUGUGUUUUCUCCAAUCAUUCUUCGAAUUUGUUUUAUUUGUAUGCAUUGCAAAGCUUCGAAGCAAAAAAUUGAUUUGGAAACUUCUGAGCAUAUGCGCACAAACCUUGGCACUUCUUUCUCAUUCCAUCCAAAUGGUUUGCGCAUGAACUUUUUGAAUCAUUAUUCCAAAAGAUGCACUUGUUUAUUCCCCAUUAUUCACAAUCACCCUUAAAUUAAUUCCCGCACUUUCUUCCUUUUGCCUUUUUUUAAAUGGCUACUUUCCCACCUUUGUUAAGGGGAGGAGAUCGCGUU
Molecule: unclassified non-coding RNA, 389 nt
Filed under: Hevea brasiliensis (rubber tree)
Lineage: Eukaryota; Viridiplantae; Streptophyta; Magnoliopsida; Malpighiales; Euphorbiaceae
Source: RNAcentral